This 320-nucleotide unclassified non-coding RNA is filed under the name plant metagenome. RNAcentral's name for it is "partial contains 5.8S ribosomal RNA, internal transcribed spacer 2, and large subunit ribosomal RNA". The stretch from base 1 to 105 matches the Rfam family "5.8S ribosomal RNA", at positions 50 to 154 of the family's 154-position model. The record is from RNAcentral.
GAAAUGCGAUAAGUAAUGUGAAUUGCAGAAUUCAGUGAAUCAUCGAAUCUUUGAACGCACAUUGCGCCCGCCAGUAUUCUUGCGGGCAUGCCUGUUCGAGCGUCAUUACAACCCUCAGGCCCCCGGGCCUGGCGUUGGGGAUCGGCGGAAGCCCCCUGCGGGCACAACGCCGUCCCCCAAAUACAGUGGCGGUCCCGCCGCAGCUUCCAUUGCGUAGUAGCUAACACCUCGCAACUGGAGAGCGGCGCGGCCACGCCGUAAAACACCCAACUUCUGAAUGUUGACCUCGAAUCAGGUAGGAAUACCCGCUGAACUUAAGC